AGAUGCGAUCAUACCAGCACUAAAGCACCGGAUCCAAUCAGAACUCUGAAGUUAAGCGUGCUUGGGUGAGAGUAGUACUAGGAUGGGUGACCUCUUGGGAAGUCCUUGUGUUGCAAUCC
Molecule: ribosomal RNA, 119 nt
Filed under: Triticum aestivum (bread wheat)
Lineage: Eukaryota; Viridiplantae; Streptophyta; Magnoliopsida; Poales; Poaceae
Source: RNAcentral